AUGACAGGAUCCAGAGUCCAUUCAUGGGCUUUGUCGAUCGCGGGAGACGUGCCACCACCUUUGCAAAUACCACAACCGUCACGAGAGGUGCACAAACAUCCAAAUGCACAUGAUCAGGUUAAUGUAUCUAUACCACCAUUUAAUGGCCGUUUUAAACCUGCUUUAUAUAUUGAAUGGGAGUUCGACAUAAAAAAUAUAUUUGCUUCCCAUAAUUUCGAUGAACAUAAAAAGGUUAAGGUUGCGGUUGGUUCUUUCACUGGUUAUGCUUUGGUUUGGUGGAGUGAAUAUUGUCGGUUACACCCUGAUUAUAUUCCUACUACUUGGGAUGAUUUGAAACUUGCCAUGCGACAUACUUUCGUCCCUGCUUAUUAUACUCGUGACAUGAUUAAGAAGUUGCAACACUUAAAACAAGGUAGUGAAACUGUAACAAAAUAUUAUGAUGAUUUACAAACUACCUUGUUGCAUUCCUCUUUAAAAGAAAGUGAAGAUGAUUUUAUGGAUAGAUUUUGGGGAGGAUUAAACCGUGAUAUUCAAGAGAUACUAAUUCAUGAAGAGUGUUAUCCUAUGGACCAUUUAUUUCAUCUUGCUUGCAAAGCUGAACAGGAAAUAAAACGACGUGUUGGCCACGAGGAGAACAAGCGCACGGUGCACAUUCCAAGAGUUGAUAUGAUUGUUCCUUCAACUACUAGGCAUACUAUGACAACCACAUCCGUUGUUGUCAGGACUACAUCACCUCCACCAUGUGACACAUCGCCUCCGAGAGUGGCUACAUCAUCUGAGUUGAUCAUAAGAGGUAAUGACAAAGGUACUGAUCUUCCAUCUCUACAUGAGAAUGAUGAAUGCCUUGUCAAUUUGAAUGCACCAUCUGAUGAGCUACCCACUACUUUGAUCACACCACCUAUUUUAGAGGACUACGUUGAUAAUUUAACUUUGCCAUGUGAUCAAACAACUGAAAUACCAACAAUUUUGAAUGCACCCAUUGAAUUAACUAUUGAUGCAAAAGAACCAAUGUUUAAUCAUUUUGAUAUGACCUCUAAUCUUGGUGAUGAUUCUGUGUUGAAUGACUUAUUGCAUGUUUGCUUAUUUAAGCAUGUUGUAGCAUGUAAAUUUGAUGCAAGUAAGGUUUAUUCACCAAUGUUGGGAUGGUUUAAUGAUGAACAUUGUCAAUCUUUUGAAAUGAAUAAGAGCUUCACUUAUAUGUGCAAACUGAGUUGCAAUAUUUUCAUGCCUUCUACUUCUUGUGCUAAUUUUUUGGAUUUAGAUUUUAUGAACUAUGCAAGUUACUCAUCUAUUCAUGUUUCAUAUAUGCAAAAAUCAAGGGAAGUAAAAAUGGAUGACAUAUACAUAUACAAUAUGUACACCUUGUCUCUUUUGUUAGCCACAUUUCAGAUUAAGCAACGCCGAGGACGGCUUUAUUUUCAAGAAGGGGAGGAUGAUGAGGACAUGACUACCUUGGAUAUGACCAAAAAUAUUGCAUAUAUGCAUAUUUGUCAGGUGAUUUCUAGUGCAAACUAUUCAAUAAUCUAUUUAUGUUAUCCAGAACAAAAAUACUUCACACACUUUUGUGUUUUGUCUAAUUGCAGGUGUAUGGGACAUUUGUACAAUCCACAUAUGAAGAUAAGGAAGAAAGAGAUGUUUAUUUGCUGUCCAAAAAGUUCUCUCACGUCACUUUUGGCCCAAGAGAAGAUAGAGUCCAAGUCUCUCACGUUCUGGAUUCAGAUUCGGACUGCACAGACAUACCUGACUCAAAACGCACACAAGUUUUUCAUACGGACUCCGAAUUGGGUGAUUCUUUUUUUGUUGGAAACUAGAUUUCGUGCACUUUCCAACCCAAUUGGAAUCACCUUCAAAUUCUUCCGGAGCGUUGAGUUGUGA
RNAcentral lists this ribosomal RNA (1875 nucleotides) under Triticum aestivum (bread wheat). RNAcentral describes it as "partial small subunit ribosomal RNA". The record is from RNAcentral. Lineage: Eukaryota; Viridiplantae; Streptophyta; Magnoliopsida; Poales; Poaceae.